Molecule: ribosomal RNA, 422 nt
Filed under: uncultured bacterium
Lineage: Bacteria
Description: partial 16S ribosomal RNA
Rfam family: Bacterial small subunit ribosomal RNA
Source: RNAcentral
AAUCUUCCACAAUGGACGAAAGUCUGAUGGAGCAACGCCGCGUGAGCGAAGAAGGUUNNNGGAUCNUAAAGCUCUGUUGCGAGNGAANAACAAGUACGGGAGUAACUGCCCGUACCUUGACGGUACCUCGUCAGAAAGCCACGGCUAACUACUUGCCAGCAGCAGCGGUAAUACGUAGGUGGCAAGCGUUGUCCGGAAUUAUUGGGCGUAAAGCGCGCGCAGGCGGUCCUUUAAGUCUGAUGUGAAAGCCCACGGCUCAACCGUGGAGGGUCAUUGGAAACUGGAGGACUUGAGUACAGAAGAGGAAAGCGGAAUUCCACGUGUAGCGGUGAAAUGCGUAGAGAUGUGGAGGAACACCAGUGGCGAAGGCGGCUUUCUGGUCUGUAACUGACGCUGAGGCGCGAAAGUGUGGGGAGCAAACA